GAGUAGGCUCACUAGAGUCACCAAGUAGCCUGUCAGUUUCUAGGAAGGACGAUUUUGCUAUGUAAAAUGUGCAGGGGCGGUUUUAGCAACUUGGAGGCCCUGGGCAAAGGAAAUUCGAUAUUUUGAUCGGGGUAAGAUAUUUGUUGUUUUUACUUCAAUCAGAUAAAUUCAAGGAAUAUAUAUAAUCACAACAAGAUCGACUAUCGAAUUUAUCACGUUGUGUAAUUUGAUCAGCUGUGCAAAUAAAGUUAGGCCUAGCAUAGCAUAGCAACACGGAGAUAAUAAGACAUAAUUGCAAUCCACAUAUAAUAACCUUAACUACUCUGCGAGUAGUUAGACUAACCCUUUGGUGUAAUACAGUUUAUUGAAACAGAAGUCACGUCAUAAACUGCAGAACCAUAGCAGAACGGGAUAGCUCAAGGCUAGGCCUACUGUAGAUUCGAAAUCUCCACAUCUGAAAUCUGAUUGGUAGUGGCUUAAGAAAAACACGGAAAUUUCAGCAAACACUGCUACAAAGUGAAUGGAACAUGUUCUCCAGUUUUCGCUUCCCUUACGACCUUGGGCACUUCACCCACACGCCUACUACCCCACUAUGUGAAGGCUAGACAGGGCAAAAUCUACAACGAUCUGGUUGGGGUCAGGUUACUACCAAACUUUUCUCAAAUGAUCAUAUUCGCGUAGAAUCCAUUUCUGGUUGGGACAUUGUUGUAUCGUGCAUAGUUAAUGAUUUGCAUGUUAUUUGAAUAAAUUAGCGAAUAUGAAUAUAUCUCAGAGAAGUGUCAAUAAUUUGACUGUAUGUAGACAGAGCGAUAUGUCUUCGUGCACAAUUAUGUUUUUUUGUUUUCAUGUAAUAUUGCAGAUAGCCUACAUGCAAAUGAGAAAACUCUAAAUGUUUAUUGUCAAUCAAUGAGUUCCUCUUUAUAAGAAAAUCAUAUCAAGGAAAAUAUUGAUAUUAUUUUACCAGAUUAGUCUAGAUAUGUAUUAGGUGCAUUCAUUGUUUUGUGAAAGUUAAUAUGCAUGCAAAUGUACCAGCUAAUUUGCAUACAAGGAUAGAUUCAUGAAUUGUGAAUUGAUGAGAAUUCCUUCUGUCUUUGUUUUAGAAAUUUCACAAACUUAUUUCUCUCUUACAUCUUUUUAUUUUCGAUCACAGAAGAGUUCAUUUACAAAUGUGCAUUAAAAAUGUCAAUGGAUCUCAUGAACAGUUUUCAUUAACAAGUGCUCUACAUCCACAUCACACCUUCAUCCUCCUCACGCACGAACACACACACACACACACACACACACUCACAAACUUAUUUCAAUCAUUCCAUUAUGGUCUCGCUAUGCUUUCACUAUGAAUCACCCUAACUGGGACUAAGACUUUGGCGUCAGUAUGGCAAAGAGGCCUCUUCAAUAUGAGGAUCAAGAUGAAGUUGCUUUGGCCAAAGAGAGAAACUUCGGAGAGGUGAAUGCAGAGAAUCCCACCACAAGACUCCAUGAAUAUUUAGAGCGUGGGGAAAACAAAUCUGAAAUGGGAGCUCCUGUAGAUGAUGAUUGGGAAGUUCCUUCUACAGAUGAUGAUGUAGGUGAAAGAGUGGGUCCUGGUGAAGAAAGGUGAGUGUAAUAGACUCAAAAUUCAUCAAGGAAUGUGAUCCCAACAGGGAUAUUUCUUUGGUACAUUAAUUUAAAGACACAUAAUAUUUGCAAAAAUUCCAUUACUAUAGACUGUUGAUAUGAUAACGUUUCUAUAAUGAUGCAGUCUAUAUUCCAGGCAUCAUGGCAGACACUCACCAGUGCUCAGUGUAAUCUCCAUGAAGAGUGACCAGUCAAUGGAUUGCCCAGGAUUUUUUACAUUUACAGGACAUAAAGGCAUUAGGAUCGAUUUGGACAAACCAGACUCUCUGAGCAGUAGAUUUUCAGCAUGUGAGCUGUCAGAGGAUUCCACUCCUGUUGCUUCUAGCUCUUACAGUCCACACACUACAGAACCUGGAGGUGUCCUCUGUGCCGUUUGCCCAAAGAG
This is a long non-coding RNA of Alosa alosa (allis shad), 1999 nucleotides long. RefSeq lists it as uncharacterized. The transcript has 3 exons. Lineage: Eukaryota; Metazoa; Chordata; Actinopteri; Clupeiformes; Clupeidae. The record is from RefSeq and is a predicted model, not a curated record.